This 606-nucleotide long non-coding RNA is filed under the name Elaeis guineensis (African oil palm). RNAcentral describes it as "long non-coding RNA (EGUI_LNC000712)". Lineage: Eukaryota; Viridiplantae; Streptophyta; Magnoliopsida; Arecales; Arecaceae. The record is from RNAcentral.
GUAUUCCAUGCACAAUAUCUCUCCUUUGGACAUCCAAAACUAAUCCUCUCUCUUUUUUAACCAUCCCAUAUUGCUGGUUUAAAUAGGCCAAGAUAGAGUUUUAAUUUAAUUAGGAGAUAAGAGUCCAAAGGGCCUUGGACUCUAUCCUUUUUUGUGCCACCCAAACACUAAGGAUUUUUGCCCAGAUUUCUCACGAUAAUUACGGGAGAAAAUCCCUUCUUUCUUACAUGCACAAAAGGGAGGAAAGUGGCAUCAGAAAAUUUGGUAGGGCAUGGAUCUUUUGGAUGCAAAAAUACAAAGUGGCGUGGAGUCCUUUUGGCAAUGGAAUCAAGGUACUUCAAGAACAUGCGGCUCUUGUUUAAUGUGACUGUUUUAAGUCAAAUAAAAUAUCAAUUAAUUCUAAUCAUAUUAGGAUCAGAUUAGACUCAAAUAGAUGAAAAUUUAAAUCUAAUUUAAAGCCCAAUCUAUUUAGAUUAGAUAUCUCCUAAUUGGAGGAGUCCUAGUCUAAUUGGACUCUUUCUUGAUGCUUAAGUCAAACUCAAUUUUUAAUCCUAAUCCAAUUAAGAUUUGGUGCACCUAUGAAAAUGAGGAUUUUUAAUCCAAAUA